GCAAGUCGAACGGAAAGGCCCUGCUUGCAGGGUACUCGAGUGGCGAACGGGUGAGUAACACGUGGGUGAUCUGCCCUGCACUUCGGGAUAAGCCUGGGAAACUGGGUCUAAUACCGGAUAGGAGCCAUUUUUAGUGUGAUGUUUGGAUAGUAUUUUUCGGUGUAGGAGGAGCUCGCGGCCUAUCAGCUUGUUGGUGGGGUAAUGGCCUACCAAGGCGACGACGGGUAGCCGGCCUGAGAGGGUGAAC
RNAcentral lists this ribosomal RNA (247 nucleotides) under uncultured bacterium. RNAcentral's name for it is "partial 16S ribosomal RNA". It matches the Rfam family "Bacterial small subunit ribosomal RNA", at positions 57 to 305 of the family's 1533-position model. The record is from RNAcentral.